AAGACACAGCGCCGCCGGCCGUGGGGGACGGACGCACUGAUUUGCUCCCCUACCCUCAGCAGCCCCCCCACCCAGCACCAGGUGGGUGUGAGCUGGGGUCUCCGCCGCACAGGAGGGAACCGUGCUAACAGGGUAACGGGGGAAAGUAGGGUCCUGGUGGCCACACCCUGCCCUUCCGGGGGAGGGGAGAGGGGGCGGCGGGGGUAGGGGAGCUUUGGGGCAGAGGGGCCUGAACUGGCUGGAGUAGUGUGGCAGGAGGUUUAAAGAAGGAGCCAGGACAGCAGUAGUGGCGGAAGGUUUUGCAGAGUGGCUAAAAGGGAGACGAGGGGCUGGAGGGCUGGGGGCAGCUAACCUGGGCGCCCCCUGGUCAAAGGAUAUGAGAACUGGCCUUCUAGCUUGCGGAGGGUUUGGACCCGGCGGGUAGUGAGGAGGUAGUUUUCCUUUACUGGCAGUCAGUGGGUCAGGGCCAAUUGAGCGCCCUGGCAGGGAAGGGGUCUCUGGGCGGGCCGGCCCCUCCUCUCGUUCCCUCCAGGGGAUGUUAUGUAAGGGGGGAGGGGAGAGGAGUAGGGGGCGGCGGUGCGGGGGCCUUAUGCAACCCAAAGGUUAGGGUUUCACCGCGGUUGGUGGGGGAAGCGGGCUGGAGGAGGACCUGGAAACUCUAACCCCCCCUCCCCAGCCUAACUGGCCGUCUUGGGCCCAGAGAAGGUCACCUCUGCACCUCCCCCCAGCAUGUCCGGUUGUGGGGCCCCUAGCCCAGGCCUGGCCCUGACCGCCUGGGAAGCCGGCUGACUGGGUGGGGCGCCUGGGUUAGUCAUCACUGGGCUCCCUCUCUCCCCACCUCUCGGCCAACUCUUGGCCCCUCCCUAUGGCCUCUCGCUAGGCUAUCGCCCCCACCUCCCUCCGGCCCUAGUUACAGCCUCCAACUCAUUUGGCCUGUCAUCCUGGCUGUCAGACUGGGCUAGGAAUUGUCAGGGUGCCAAAGGGUUGAUGGAGCAGCUGGUCAGAGGGUCAGUGCCCUGGGCCCACCCCGCCCUGCAGCCAAGGGCACCUGCUUGGCACAGACUCUGAGCAGCCGCUGAGUCCUAUGGGCUGAAUAGAGCUGGCUCAGACAGAGGAGAGUGGGAAGGAGUUGGACUGGUCACCUGGGGGAAGGAAGAUACCACAAAGUUCAUGUCUCCCUAGAGGGUUUUGUAAUUUGAAAACCUCCCACCCCCACCCUAGUCUUUCUUAUCCUCUGAGUAUAGAAGUCUGAAAGCAAGACCGCCUUGGCCGCUCACACUGGCAUGGGCCAUGCCCUUGGACUGAGUGUCAGCACAGACCCGCCCUCCCCAGCUCUCAGCCCUCUAGCCUGCCACGCCCCCAGCCCCCUCCCUGGGCCAUGCUGCAGGGCCCGGCUUUUCCUGCUGAUUCAUGCGUUGGAACUGUGGGGGCGGGGCUUGGAACUUGGAACAAAGUUCAGACAUGGAGGGGCCGGCAGACAGCCUGGAAUUCAUACCAGAUGUACCCGGAAUGCGCAAGCGGAAUGCCUGGCAUUUGAGAGUCUUGGGGAAGCUGCCCAUCCACCCUGCCCAUACCUCCCUCCCCUCCAGCCUUUGGUCCCCUGUCCUCUCCUCACAGUCCCUGGAGCCUCUGCUGACCUUCCAAACACUUCCUUACUCUUCCCCAGAUGUAGGCCCCCAAAACUCUUCUAGCUGAACUCUUUGGGAACAAGUCAGUUGGGCUGAUCACUGAACUCACAUUUUUGGACCUAAGGUACAACUUCUCACCAAGUACCUGGGCGAUUGGUGGGACGUGUCCAAGGUUCUAAGUCCUGCCCUCUCUGAAUGCUGAAGAGGAGGGGCCCUUCGUGGGUAGCUGAGGCAAGGGGUGGGGGGUGGGGUGAGAGCAGGCCUGGGUCUCUACAGCCUUCAGUUCUGGAAAGAGGUGCAAGGAGGUAUGUUUAGAGCUGCCUCUUGCUUCUCACUGAAGUCAACCGCUCCUGCAGGCCCAAGUCAAAGCCAAGAACCCUUUGUUACAAGGUUGAGCAUCUGUUGGAGCUGGACUUUGAUGCCAGUGGGACAGUGCCCCUGUGACAUGGCCCUGCUUAGAUCCUUCCCAUUUUUCUUCCCUUUCCUUUUAGGAGCCUGUCCCUCCCACAUCCUCAACUGGCUGAGCCGCAGUAGUUCUUCAGUGGCAAGCUUUAUGUCCUGACCCAGCUAAAGCUGCCAGUUGAAGAACUGUUGCCCUCUGCCCCUGGCUUCAAGGAGGAGGAGGAAGAGGAGAAGGAGCUGCUUUCCCCCUCAUCUGGAAGGUGACGGAACUGGGGCUGGGAAGGUCAGAACAGCGGGAGUGGUGAUGCCUUUUGGAAAAGGGAACCUUGUUCAGUUGGAGACCCUUCAGCCAGAUUGGCCCAGCAAGAGAGAACAGUUGUAGAUUAGAGACCCUCGUUGGGCUGGGGACUAGAUGGCUGUGACUACCCAAGGUUAGUUGGUCUACAUCAGUGUGUGACAAAGGGAAGACAAUGGGAGCAAAGAAAACUGGCAACACCUUUACUCAGAUGUCUUUCUUGACCCUCCUUCCUGUCUCCCUUUCUUUCCUACUGCCUUUCCAGGUGAGGUCCAAAGUAAAUUUCAUCUUCAGGGAAGAGGUCAUACUGAAACUCCCAUCUGAGUAGUCAACCCCAUGCUCUUAGCUUUCCCUGUAUUUCCUCAGACUGGCCUAGACUCCAGUUACAGGGAUAAAUCACCUAUAGUGGGACCCUUGGGCCUCUUGUCUCAGCUUCAACACCUGUGAGAUGCAGAAUCAUACAGUUGAAUGUGCAGGAGGGAAUCAGAAGCCUACUGUGCAGACUCAGAGCCUGGGCUCUCCUCUCCCUGUGGGUGGGAACAAAACAGCUUUUCAUAUAAGCUGUUGCCCCUCCCCCAUCCCUAACCAACACAACCCCAGGAGCUGGGGGUGGGGGGAGGAUUAGAGGGAGGGGGCUAGAGUUAGACCAGGGCUAGGGGCUGGAGGAGCUCAGUCUCUACAUUGACUUCCCACCAUGCAAAGGCGGCCCCAGGUUUCCUCUGCCACCCAAAACAGAACUGUAGCCCCUGAUGGGGUUCCAACUGCUGUUCCUCUGUUUCUUCUCUCACUUUACCUUCCAGGAUAAUUUGUGAGACUCAGCUCAGGCUUAUGAGGCAGGAAAUUCUCUCCAGCAACCAGGCGAGAUGGGUUGUGGGAUG
Molecule: long non-coding RNA, 3203 nt
Filed under: Lynx pardinus (Iberian lynx)
Lineage: Eukaryota; Metazoa; Chordata; Mammalia; Carnivora; Felidae
Rfam family: mir-22 microRNA precursor family (bases 2147-2230)
Source: RNAcentral